GAGACUUUAAUUUAAUUGGUAAAAUAUAUGACUUUUAAUCAUUAUAAUGACGGGUUCGAGUCCCGCAGGUCUUAAACACGGCCA
Molecule: transfer RNA, 84 nt
Filed under: Nadvornikia sorediata
Lineage: Eukaryota; Fungi; Ascomycota; Lecanoromycetes; Ostropales; Graphidaceae
Description: tRNA-Lys
Rfam family: tRNA (bases 1-74)
About the family: Transfer RNA (tRNA) molecules are approximately 80 nucleotides in length. Their secondary structure includes four short double-helical elements and three loops (D, anti-codon, and T loops). Further hydrogen bonds mediate the characteristic L-shaped molecular structure. tRNAs have two regions of fundamental functional importance: the anti-codon, which is responsible for specific mRNA codon recognition, and the 3' end, to which the tRNAs corresponding amino acid is attached (by aminoacyl-tRNA synthetases). tRNAs cope with the degeneracy of the genetic code in two manners: having more than one tRNA (with a specific anti-codon) for a particular amino acid; and 'wobble' base-pairing, i.e. permitting non-standard base-pairing at the 3rd anti-codon position.
Source: RNAcentral